Molecule: long non-coding RNA, 2165 nt
Filed under: Nicotiana benthamiana
Lineage: Eukaryota; Viridiplantae; Streptophyta; Magnoliopsida; Solanales; Solanaceae
Description: long non-coding RNA (NBEN_LNC007295)
Source: RNAcentral
CAACAUAAACACUACCCAAGAACUAGUGUCACAAUGCUCACAAACUUCUAUGAAUACUAAACACAACCGUUUGAAAGAAAUAUAAAACUGGUUUUCUCGAAUACAUCAGAUAACAGAUUGAUAAUAAAGAUAGAAGAGACAUCGGGUCCUGAGGACGCCUGCAAGGCUACCUCGGUGUCUCGAUGAUCAGAAUGCAAACAACCGUACUACUGCUACUAUUGUUGCCAGUAACCUGUAUCUGUGCAAAAAGAGCGCAUAUUAUAGAAUUAACACAACCGACGCCAUGUGCUGGUAAGUGUCUGGCCUAUCCCGGCGAAGUAGUGAUAAGGCUAUAACCAGACACUCACAUAAACAUAUACAGUUCAAAAUAUAUAUACAACAAAAAUACCAGGAAGAAACAUUAAGUAUUUGGGAAGGGAAACAUGCUCUGGGGUAGUGGCAAAAUAUAAUGUCAGAAAUAGAAUAAUGGAAUUUAAUUCACUUUCAAGUUCAACUCAUCUUGUUGCAGGCAUGCAACCCGUUUUCAUCACAAUAAAAUUUGUAGUAGACGUACCAUUGGAUAUCAUUUGAAUAUAUUAUAUAAGGGAUUGACCCAAUUUAUUAUGUAUAUUGUGGACGGCGUUCCACACGAUCCCAUUUCAAUAUAUAAGUGGUCGGCGUGCCACACGAUCCUAUUUCAAUAUAUAAGUAGUCGGCUUGCAACACGAUCCCAUUUCAAUAAAUAUGUGGUCGGCAUGCCACACAAUCCCAUUUUAAUAUAUAAGUGGUCGGCGUGCCACACAAUCCCAUUUCACUUUUAACAUAGUUCCAAAAAAUAUAUUAUUGGCAAGAGAAAACAAUAACUCGGUGCCAAGGCUCAAAAAUGAAUCUUUGUCUUUUAUUCACUUCUUACUCAAUUAUCAUGUCAUUGUUCGUGCCCACGCUCGAGGAAUUCACAAUUUAUAAUUUGCUUUUCACACUUAUCACAUAAUUUAGAAAUCAACAAUUAGGUGUGGAUGAGUUACGCCAAUAUCAAAUAAUCACAUGUAAAGACUCAUGGUCAUACUAGACCUCCAACGUAUAGAUACUCGUCACCAUGCCUAUACGUCGGACUGCACACAUAGCAAUCAACAAAUAGACUUAACUCUUAUUUCCUCAAGCUAGGAUAGAUCAAACACUUACCUCGAAGAUUUAUGGCUAACUCAAUCCUUAAGCAAUGCCUUUCCUAUCAAAUUUGUCUCCAAAUACUUCAAAUCUCAAUAUAGCCGGAAAAUUGAUUGUUUCUCUAUUCUGAACUCAAAAAUUCAACGAAUAUACUACUUGAGAAGCAACCUUCACAGCUGCAGAGAAAUUCCAUGUCAACACCUUCUUCCGUGCACCAAAAGGUGGAUUCAUCACAACCAUCUCAAAAACUUGACUUUUCCAUUUUUAGUUUCUAAUUCACAUUGAACAAAAUCCAUGUCUAAAUCAAGUUCAUCAGCGUUUGCAUAUGCAAUCACAAUAUUCCAACUUGGAUUUGUGUGCAUCCAUGUUUAUCAUAGCUUUGAAACCUUUUAGAAAACCUUUGAAUUAAAUGAAUUGAGUUGUAAAUACAAGCUUAGUAAGCAACUGGACAAUUUUGGAUAGGAGAUUCUGCCGGCGACAACGAACAGAACCGACAAUCGGAAACCAACUCGAACUAGCACUGAGCUUCGAACAGAUAGCGAUGACCUCGACGGCUCGAUGACUGGAAACCUCUCUUCUAAAUACAAGCUUAAUAAGCAACUGGACAAUUUUGGAUAAGAGAUUCUGCCGGCGACAACAAACAGAACCGACGACCGAAAACCAACUCAAACUAGCACUGAGCUUCAAACAGAUAGCGACGACCUCGAUGGCUCGAUGACUGGAAACAUCUCAAGUUCUGUCACUAUUUCUGCUAUAUUUCCGACCAAUCAUGGUAGCAUAGCUGCUGUCUGUUCAAGUUCGGCUGUCCUUUCUAUUUUUCCUAGGGUUCGCUACUUGUUUCCAUGAAGAAGAAGAUGGUCUAUGCUUCUCUUUUAAACAGAAUAGUGGAAGAAAAAAACGUAUUCCAUCUGAUAAUGUCCACCAAGUGAUCAUUUUCCUUUCUAUGAAAUUCUCACCUAAUCAUCAACUUAUAAAAUUGCUAGUGAAAUGUGUCUUUAAUAUGGGUUCCACCUAUAUUGACU